Non-coding RNA from Girardinichthys multiradiatus, 74 nucleotides. Lineage: Eukaryota; Metazoa; Chordata; Actinopteri; Cyprinodontiformes; Goodeidae. The record is from the annotation of a RefSeq genome assembly.
GCUCCAGUGGCGCAAUCGGUCAGCGCGCGGUACUUAUAAUGCCGAGGUCGUGAGUUCAACCCUCACCUGGAGCA